This 256-nucleotide ribosomal RNA is filed under the name uncultured bacterium. RNAcentral describes it as "partial 16S ribosomal RNA". It matches the Rfam family "Bacterial small subunit ribosomal RNA", at positions 524 to 776 of the family's 1533-position model. The record is from RNAcentral.
UACGGGGGGGAGCAAGCGUUGUUCGGAUUUACUGGGCGUAAAGGGCGCGUAGGCGGUCGUGACAAGUCACUUGUGAAAUCUCCGGGCUUAACUCGGAACGGUCAAGUGAUACUGUCGGACUAGAGUACAGAAGGGGCAACUGGAAUUCUCGGUGUAGCGGUGAAAUGCGUAGAGAUCAGCAGGAACACCCGUGGCGAAGGCGGCCCCCCUGGGCCGUACCUGACGCUGAGGCACGAAAGCGUGGGGAGCAAACAGG